This 215-nucleotide unclassified non-coding RNA is filed under the name Hevea brasiliensis (rubber tree). The record is from RNAcentral. Lineage: Eukaryota; Viridiplantae; Streptophyta; Magnoliopsida; Malpighiales; Euphorbiaceae.
GUUUAAUAAAGGCUUUCUCAAUGGACAAAAAAUAGGCUCUUAGCAGGGGCGAGACAGAUAUUCUUAGAUCGGACUUUGCCGGGUAAAUGAAAGAGUUUACCGGAUGUGCCUGUAAACAGUUAAAACUCCAUAUAUGAUAACAAUUCAGAUAGAGGCACGCAUAUGAUAAAAGAACUUGCCAAAAGAAUGGAUUAGCAGUGAAAGCUGCUAAGGAU